UACGUAGGGCGCAAGCGUUAUCCGGAAUUAUUGGGCGUAAAGAGCUCGUAGGCGGUUUGUCGCGUCUGCCGUGAAAGUCCGGGGCUCAACUCCGGAUCUGCGGUGGGUACGGACAGACUAGAGUGAUGUAGGGGAGACUGGAAUUCCGUGGUGAUAGCGGUGAAAUGCGCAGAUAUCAGGAGGAACACCGAGUGGCGAAGGCAGGUCUCUGGGCGAUUAAAC
This 222-nucleotide ribosomal RNA is filed under the name uncultured bacterium. Its description in RNAcentral is "partial 16S ribosomal RNA". It matches the Rfam family "Bacterial small subunit ribosomal RNA", at positions 524 to 740 of the family's 1533-position model. The record is from RNAcentral.